AUUGAACGCUGGCGGAAUGCUUUACACAUGCAAGUCGAACGGUAGAGGGGGCAACCCCUUGAGAGUGGCGAACGGGUGAGUAAUAUAUCGGAACGUGCCCAGUCGUGGGGAUAACGUAGCGAAAGUUACGCUAAUACCGCAUACGAUCUACGGAUGAAAGCGGGGGACUCGCAAGAGCCUCGCGCGAUUGGAGCGGCCGAUAUCAGAUUAGGUAGUUGGUGGGGUAAAGGCUCACCAAGCCAACGAUCUGUAGCUGGUCUGAGAGGACGACCAGCCACACUGGAACUGAGACACGGUCCAGACUCCUACGGGAGGCAGCAGUGGGGAAUUUUGGACAAUGGACGCAAGUCUGAUCCAGCCAUUCCGCGUGCAGGAUGAAGGCCCUCGGGUUGUAAACUGCUUUUGUACGGAACGAAAAGGUUUCUAUUAAUACUAGGAGCUCAUGACGGUACCGUAAGAAUAAGCACCGGCUAACUACGUGCCAGCAGCCGCGGUAAAGUG
RNAcentral lists this ribosomal RNA (501 nucleotides) under uncultured bacterium. RNAcentral's name for it is "bacterial SSU rRNA". It matches the Rfam family "Bacterial small subunit ribosomal RNA", at positions 30 to 527 of the family's 1533-position model. The record is from RNAcentral.